Molecule: ribosomal RNA, 497 nt
Filed under: uncultured bacterium
Lineage: Bacteria
Description: partial 16S ribosomal RNA
Rfam family: Bacterial small subunit ribosomal RNA
Source: RNAcentral
GAUGAACGCUGGCGGCGUGCCUAAUACAUGCAAGUCGAGCGAACGGACGAGAAGCUUGCUUCUCUGAUGUUAGCGGCGGACGGGUGAGUAACACGUGGAUAACCGACCUAUAAGACUGGGAUAACUUCGGGAAACCGGAGCUAAUACCGGAUAAUAUUUUGAACCGCAUGGUUCAAAAGUGAAAGACGGUCUUGCUGUCACUUAUAGAGGGAUCCGCGCUGCAUUAGCUAGUUGGUAAGGUAACGGCUUACCAAGGCAACGAUGCAUAGCCGACCUGAGAGGGUGAUCGGCCACACUGGAACUGAGACACGGUCCAGACUCCUACGGGAGGCAGCAGUAGGGAAUCUUCCGCAAUGGGCGAAAGCCUGACGGAGCAACGCCGCGUGAGUGAUGAAGGUCUUCGGAUCGUAAAACUCUGUUAUUAGGGAAGAACAUAUGUGUAAGUAACUGUGCACAUCUUGACGGUACCUAAUCAGAAAGCCACGGCUAACUACGUG